Long non-coding RNA from Ornithorhynchus anatinus (platypus), 268 nucleotides. RefSeq lists it as uncharacterized. The record is from RefSeq and is a predicted model, not a curated record. Lineage: Eukaryota; Metazoa; Chordata; Mammalia; Monotremata; Ornithorhynchidae. The transcript is spliced from 2 exons.
CUUCGGGACUUGGAGAGUCAAAGAGAUCAGGACUCGAAAGGGAAGACUAUAGAAAGAAACAAGAGGACAUGCUAUCCCAAUAAGGGAACACUGAGGCCUACUGAUAGCCUGAAAUACAUUAAACUGAAAUCCUUUUGGAAAAAGCAAAUCAACUGUGCGUCCAUUUCGGAUCUGGACAGAGAGUGACUGAAAAAAAUCAAAGGACAACCUGAAAAGAUAUUGAUUCUCCUAUGGAAUUUGCAGUUCUAUUAAAUCGGAUUUGACUAGA